GCAAGGGGAGCGGCAGACGGGUGAGUAACGCGUGGGAACGUACCUUUUGCUACGGAAUAACUCAGGGAAACUUGUGCUAAUACCGUAUGUGCCCUUCGGGGGAAAGAUUUAUCGGCAAAGGAUCGGCCCGCGUUGGAUUAGCUAGUUGGUGAGGUAAAGGCUCACCAAGGCGACGAUCCAUAGCUGGUCUGAGAGGAUGAUCAGCCACACUGGGACUGAGACACGGCCCAGACUCCUACGGGAGGCAGCAGCA
Molecule: ribosomal RNA, 253 nt
Filed under: uncultured Ochrobactrum sp.
Lineage: Bacteria; Pseudomonadati; Pseudomonadota; Alphaproteobacteria; Hyphomicrobiales; Brucellaceae
Description: partial 16S ribosomal RNA
Rfam family: Bacterial small subunit ribosomal RNA
Source: RNAcentral